GGUUGUGGCUCAGUGGUAGAGCACUUGCCUACCACACAUGAGGCACUGGGUUCGAUCCCUAGCACCA
This 67-nucleotide transfer RNA is filed under the name Marmota monax (woodchuck). Its description in RNAcentral is "tRNA.Gly". It matches the Rfam family "tRNA". Rfam says of the family: Transfer RNA (tRNA) molecules are approximately 80 nucleotides in length. Their secondary structure includes four short double-helical elements and three loops (D, anti-codon, and T loops). The record is from RNAcentral. Lineage: Eukaryota; Metazoa; Chordata; Mammalia; Rodentia; Sciuridae.